GCCCGCUUGGAUUAGGGGUAAAGCGUAUCACUCGUAUAGAAUGAGAUCCGGGUACAUAUGAGAUGAUAAGAUCAGUCGUUCGAAUCGGCUAGUGGGCA
Molecule: non-coding RNA, 98 nt
Organism: Roridomyces roridus
Lineage: Eukaryota; Fungi; Basidiomycota; Agaricomycetes; Agaricales; Mycenaceae
Source: the annotation of a GenBank genome assembly